This is a long non-coding RNA of Chenopodium quinoa (quinoa), 555 nucleotides long. RefSeq lists it as uncharacterized. The record is from RefSeq and is a predicted model, not a curated record. The transcript is spliced from 3 exons. NCBI's taxonomy places the organism in Eukaryota, Viridiplantae, Streptophyta, Magnoliopsida, Caryophyllales, Amaranthaceae.
AUUCUCAUAUUCAUUCAACAGGUUUUGAAUGUUUCUACUACAGGUUGAUUAAUCCAAUUGUGGUUGCACCAACAAUGGCUGCUGUAGGUUUAGCAUUUUUCAGCUACGGGUUUCCUCAAGCUGGCAGUUGUGUUGAAAUAAGCAUACCCCUUAUAAUGUUGCUUCUUUUCUUCACCUUGUACAUUCGGGGAGUAUCUAUAUCAGGCCAUCGAAUUUUCCAAAUUUAUGCGUGUUGUGCCUGCUGUGCUGUGAUGUCGAGUUUUCCUGUGUUGGUGUGAUGCGUUGCUGUGUUGGUGUUGCUGUGUUGCUGUCUGCUUCUUUUUGCAGUGCUGUGUUGCGGUUUCUGGGGUGCUGUGAUGCUGAGUUGAUGUGCUUGCUCUGCUGCUUUGGUGUUGUGCUGCGUUUUGUUAUUUUUGUAGCCUGUUGAGCUGCUUAGUUUGGGCUGUUUAAUUUAGUUAGAUGUUUGCUGUUUAUAUGCUUCAUUAGAACAGGUUUUUGGAGUAUUAGAAGUAAAUUUUGUAACUUUAUAUAUAUGUUAUUGUUUAUAUAUCUAAU